This 370-nucleotide long non-coding RNA is filed under the name Salvia miltiorrhiza (redroot sage). RNAcentral's name for it is "long non-coding RNA (SMIL_LNC010243)". The record is from RNAcentral. Lineage: Eukaryota; Viridiplantae; Streptophyta; Magnoliopsida; Lamiales; Lamiaceae.
GGGUCAACCCGGACAAUAUACUUGAUAUAACAAAUUUAACAUAUGAAGACAUAAGUAUUGUUUGGUGCAAUGGGUUCUGCUUUCGCCUCAUUAUCUCUAAGGGCGUGGGAUUGAAACCUAAUUGCUAUAAGUUUUGCUGGUUUUUUUUGCUCUUUUAUUUUUGUUUCAAUUUUUUUUCUUCUUUCCUUUACAAUAUUAUUAAUUUUAUCUUUCUAUAUUUUAUUAGUUGUUUUAGUGUUUGAAUAUUUUUUUUAUUUUAAUUUUGUUUUCAGCUUUAAUUAUAAUGGUUUUUUAUAUCAUUUUUUUAUAUUUUAUUUAGUUCAACAUUUUAAAAAUGUUAUUUAUUUCAAGUUAUUUUAAAAUAAUUUUU